This 489-nucleotide ribosomal RNA is filed under the name uncultured soil bacterium. RNAcentral describes it as "bacterial SSU rRNA". It matches the Rfam family "Bacterial small subunit ribosomal RNA", at positions 105 to 633 of the family's 1533-position model. The record is from RNAcentral.
GGUGAGUAAUACGUAAGUAACUGCCCCUAAGUGGGGGAUACCCCUGGGAAACUAGGGCUAAUACCGCGUGUGGUCUUCAUAAGUAAAGCCGCGCUUGGGGAGGGGCUUGCGUCCGAUUAGCUAGUUGGUAGGGUAACGGCCUACCAAGGCGAAGAUCGGUAGCUGGUCUGAGAGGACGACCAGCCACACUGGGACUGAGACACGGCCCAGACUCCUACGGGAGGCAGCAGCAAGGAAUAUUGCGCAAUGGGCGAAAGCCUGACGCAGCGACGUCGCGUGGGGGAUGAAGGCCUUCGGGUUGUAAACCCCUUUUCUUAGGGAAGAAUGACGGUACCUGAGGAAUAAGUCUCGGCUAACUACGUGCCAGCAGCCGCGGUAAUACGUAGGAGACAAGCGUUAUCCGGAUUUAUUGGGCGUAAAGCGGACGCAGGCGGUCUUUCAAGUCGGAUGUAAAAUCUCCCGGCUCAACUGGGAGGGGUCGUCCGAUAC